This 314-nucleotide ribosomal RNA is filed under the name uncultured eukaryote. RNAcentral's name for it is "partial 18S ribosomal RNA". It matches the Rfam family "Eukaryotic small subunit ribosomal RNA", at positions 1470 to 1796 of the family's 1831-position model. The record is from RNAcentral.
CCCUUAGAUGUUCUGGGCCGCACGCGCGCUACACUGACUACUUCAACGAGUUGUUUCCUUGAUCGAAAGGUCUGGGUAAUCUUUGAAAGGUAGUCGUGAUGGGGAUAGAUCCUUGCAAUUUUUGAUCUUCAACGAGGAAUUCCUAGUAAACGCAAGUCAUCAACUUGCAUUGAUUACGUCCCUGCCCUUUGUACACACCGCCCGUCGCACCUACCGAUUGAAUGGUCCGGUGAAGCCUCCGGAUUGGCGCGCACCUCGGUGCCGCCGAGAAGUUGGCUAAACCUUACCAUUUAGAGGAAGGUGAAGUCGUAACA